GAGUUUGAUCGUGGCUCAGAUUGAACGCUGGCGGCAUGCCUUACACAUGCAAGUCGAACGGCAGCAUGAUCUAGCUUGCUAGAUUGAUGGCGAGUGGCGAACGGGUGAGUAAUACAUCGGAACGUGCCCUGUAGUGGGGGAUAACUAGUCGAAAGAUUAGCUAAUACCGCAUACGACCUGAGGGUGAAAGUGGGGGACCGCAAGGCCUCAUGCUAUAGGAGCGGCCGAUGUCUGAUUAGCUAGUUGGUGGGGUAAAGGCCCACCAAGGCGACGAUCAGUAGCUGGUCUGAGAGGACGAUCAGCCACACUGGGACUGAGACACGGCCCAGACUCCUACGGGAGGCAGCAGUGGGGAAUUUUGGACAAUGGGGGCAACCCUGAUCCAGCAAUGCCGCGUGUGUGAAGAAGGCCUCGG
This 415-nucleotide ribosomal RNA is filed under the name uncultured microorganism. RNAcentral describes it as "bacterial SSU rRNA". It matches the Rfam family "Bacterial small subunit ribosomal RNA", at positions 9 to 420 of the family's 1533-position model. The record is from RNAcentral.